This 200-nucleotide unclassified non-coding RNA is filed under the name Hevea brasiliensis (rubber tree). Lineage: Eukaryota; Viridiplantae; Streptophyta; Magnoliopsida; Malpighiales; Euphorbiaceae. The record is from RNAcentral.
CCGGAAAAGCCUAGUUCCGGUGCACUGAGCAGCUUUUUUCAGCAGCUUUACUUUGUUCCUGAAUUGACGUGAAGGAGGUCUUGCUAUCGUCCUAAAAAUAGGAUGAAUUUGGCGAGUGGUGUUCCGCCUUCCGUCGAAGAAGGGGUAGGCGCGCGGCUUCUCCGCAAGGAAGAUGACCGCCUGAUGCGCGGACGGGGCGA